GGCGCUAUAGUGUAGUGGUUAUCACUCGAGAUUCUGACUUUGAUUUCUCGAAACCCAGGUUCGAACCCUGGUAGCGCCU
Non-coding RNA from Coprinopsis sp. MPI-PUGE-AT-0042, 79 nucleotides. The record is from the annotation of a GenBank genome assembly. NCBI's taxonomy places the organism in Eukaryota, Fungi, Basidiomycota, Agaricomycetes, Agaricales, Psathyrellaceae.